GAGGCCUUCUCACCACAUACCCCUGGCCCGCAGGACAUAGGAAGUGAUCAAGAAGUUCCAAGUUCCUGCCCAAUCCUUUCUAUCAGCAAUAAACAUGGCCCUUGGGGUGGUCUCGUUAGAGAAGAGUAGAUGAUGGAUUCCUCAGCCCAUUUCAGAAGCCUUCAGCCACCCAGCAAUUCCAAUGAGGGAGCAGCUCAACACAACUCCACAGAGUAUCGGAGGUACUUUUAUGCACUGUUGGCGAGAAUAUAAAUUUUGCUGCAACCUUUUUUCUAUAAAGACUCUUCACUCCAAAAGCAGCCUGGUUGGCCGAGACAUCCAGACAGGUGACGGGCUGCCCGUAGACGUGGUGGAGGGUUCUGGCAGAGUCGUCAGCCUUCAGCAGGAAAGAUCACAUCGUCUGCUGAGACACUGGCCUGGAAGUAAAGGGGACAACCACACGAUGGGUCCCACUACGGUUGGUGGGAUGUAAUCUGGUCCAAUGUCUAUAGAGGGAAAUCGGCAGCACUUUCCACAAUGUCAAGUGCACUUACGCUCUGACCCAGCAAGUUUCU
Eptesicus fuscus (big brown bat) is the source of this 554-nucleotide long non-coding RNA. RefSeq lists it as uncharacterized. The transcript has 4 exons. NCBI's taxonomy places the organism in Eukaryota, Metazoa, Chordata, Mammalia, Chiroptera, Vespertilionidae. The record is from RefSeq and is a predicted model, not a curated record.